This 550-nucleotide ribosomal RNA is filed under the name uncultured Glomeromycotina. Its description in RNAcentral is "SSU rRNA". It matches the Rfam family "Eukaryotic small subunit ribosomal RNA", at positions 548 to 1098 of the family's 1831-position model. The record is from RNAcentral. Lineage: Eukaryota; Fungi; Glomeromycota.
UUGGAGGGCAAGUCUGGUGCCAGCAGCCGCGGUAAUUCCAGCUCCAAUAGCGUAUAUUAAAGUUGUUGCAGUUAAAAAGCUUGUAGUUGAACCUCGGGGUCUACCCAUUGGUCAGGCUUAAUUGUCUGCACUGGUGAGAUGGAUCUCUACCUUCUGAGGAACUUUCAUGCCAUUUAUUUGGUGUGAUGGGAAAUCAGGACUGUUACUUUGAAAAAAUUAGAGUGUUUAAAGCAGGCUUACGCUUGAAUACAUUAGCAUGGAAUAAUGAAAUAGGACGUUUGAUUCUAUUUUGUUGGUUUCUAGGAUUGACGUAAUGAUUAAUAGGGAUAGUUGGGGGCAUUAGUACUCAAUUGUCAGAGGUGAAAUUCUUGGAUUUAUUGAAGACUAACUACUGCGAAAGCAUUCGCCAAGGAUGUUUUCAUUAAUCAAGAACGAAAGUUAGGGGAUCGAAGACGAUCAGAUACCGUCGUAGUCUUAACCAUAAACUAUGCCGACUAGGGAUCGGAUGAUGUUAAUUUUUUAAUGACUCAUUCGGCGCCUUACGGGAAAC